AAUCCGCUAUAAGAUGGACCCGCGGCGCAUUAGCUAGUUGGUGAGGUAAUGGCUCACCAAGGCGACGAUGCGUAGCCGACCUGAGAGGGUGAUCGGCCACAUUGGAACUGAGAUACGGUCCAGACUCCUACGGGAGGCAGCAGUGGGGAAUAUUGCACAAUGGGGGAAACCCUGAUGCAGCAACGCCGCGUGAGUGAUGAAGGCCUUCGGGUUGUAAAGCUCUGUCUUUGGGGACGAUAAUGACGGUACCCAAGGAGGAAGCCACGGCUAACUACGUGCCAGCAGCCGCGGUAAUACGUAGGUGGCAAGCGUUGUCCGGAUUUACUGGGCGUAAAGGGAGCGUAGGUGGAUAUUUAAGUGGGAUGUGAAAUACCUGAGCUUAACUUGGGUGCUGCAUUCCAAACUGGAUAUCUAGAGUGCAGGAGAGGAAAGUGGAAUUCCUAGUGUAGCGGUGAAAUGCGUAGAGAUUAGGAAGAACCCCAGUGGCGAAGGCGACUUUCUGGACUGUAACUGACACUGAGGCUCGAAAGCGUGGGGAGCAAACAGGAUUAGAUACCCUGGUAGUCCACGCCGUAAACGAUGGAUACUAGGUGUGGGGGUUUCAACACCUCCGUGCCGCCGUUAACACAAUAAGUAUCCCGCCUGGGGAGUACGGUCGCAAGAUUAAAACUCAAAGGAAUUGACGGGGGCCCGCACAAGCAGCGGAGCAUGUGGUUUAAUUCGAAGCAACGCGAAGAACCUUACCUAGACUUGACAUCUCCUGAAUUACCCUUAACCGGGGAAGUCGGCACCUUUGGUGCCGACAGGAAGACAGGUGGUGCAUGGUUGUCGUCAGCUCGUGUCGUGAGAUGUUGGGUUAAGUCCCGCAACGAGCGCAACCCUUAUUGUUAGUUGCUACCAUUUAGUUGAGCACUCUAGCGAGACUGCCCGGGUUAACCGGGAGGAAGGUGGGGAUGACGUCAAAUCAUCAUGCCCCUUAUGUCUAGGGCUACACACGUGCUACAAUGGCAAGUACAAAGAGACGCAAGACCGUGAGGUGGAGCAAAUCUCAAAAACUUGUCCCAGUUCGGAUUGUAGGCUGAAACUCGCCUACAUGAAGCCGGAGUUGCUAGUAAUCGCGAAUCAGCAUGUCGCGGUGAAUACGUUCCCGGGCCUUGUACACACCGCCCGUCACACCAUGAGAGUUGGCAAUACCCGAAGUCUGUG
Molecule: ribosomal RNA, 1206 nt
Filed under: Clostridium yunnanense
Lineage: Bacteria; Bacillati; Bacillota; Clostridia; Eubacteriales; Clostridiaceae
Description: bacterial SSU rRNA
Rfam family: Bacterial small subunit ribosomal RNA
Source: RNAcentral